Armigeres subalbatus is the source of this 712-nucleotide long non-coding RNA. RefSeq lists it as uncharacterized. Lineage: Eukaryota; Metazoa; Arthropoda; Insecta; Diptera; Culicidae. The record is from RefSeq and is a predicted model, not a curated record. The transcript has 4 exons.
GCCAAGCAGUACGUACGAUACAGUGAUCAAGUGCAGACGGAUGCAUGACCAGCACCGUCAGUGCAUUGACGUGUGGACGAUCAUAAACUGAGGGUAAAAUACAAUAUUUCCUGACAAGCAAAAUCUCACCAGAUACACCGGUGGACUGCUCGAGAUCAAUACUCCACGUGUGUGAACGACGGCGAUUAGCUACACGUUGUAGUUCUAUGUGAUCGCAUGUCCCAGUUGGCUCUGGUGAAGGUCACUUAAAGCUCGGGGAGAACAAUCUAUUGUGUCUGUGGACUCGCUACUCAGGUACCGCACAACACGCACGAUCGUACGGACACUUUUGAUACCACAAGGCCUUCUACCACGGAAUAGAAGGCCUUUUUUCUGUUUUCCAUAAUCUCCAAUCUCCAGCAUCGUUGGACGGUCAAGACUGUAACACAUCAGCACGUCGCACGACGGCAACUUCAUUAGAAGCCACCACGCGGGACUCGCUCGAGAGACGGUCACCGGCCGCUUCAAUCCAACCAGUGCAGAAAGAGUGCAUGCAUUACGAGAAGCAGAGCGGGGAGCAAGGGAGGAAGCUCAUCGGCGAUCGCCGUCCGUCAGCCGGAUAGUGUGAAGGCACCGAGCCGAGCAGCAUCCACAAUAGAGAUGAGUGACGUUUCGCGCUCGCACACUAAUGUGCAAUUCGUCAUGUAAAACAUGUUUGUUUUCCUUCUGCUCA